AUUGAACGCUGGCGGCAGGCCUAACACAUGCAAGUCGAGCGAGCGGCGGACGGGUGAGUAAUGUAUGGGGAUCUGCCCGAUAGAGGGGGAUAACUACUGGAAACGGUGGCUAAUACCGCAUACUAUCGGAUGAACCCAUAUGGGAUUAGCUAGUAGGUGGGGUAAAGGCUCACCUAGGCGACGAUCUCUAGCUGGUCUGAGAGGAUGAUCAGCCAAACUGGGACUGAGACACGGCCCAGACUCCUACGGGAGGCAGCAGUGGGGAAUAUUGCACAAGGGGCGGAAGCCGUAUGCAGCCAUGCCGCGGGUAUGAAGAAGGCCUUAGGGGUGUAAAGUACUUUCAGCGGGGAGGCGUGACCCGCAGAAGAAGCACCGGCUAAAUCCGUGCCAGCAGCCGCGGUAAUUA
RNAcentral lists this ribosomal RNA (406 nucleotides) under uncultured bacterium. RNAcentral's name for it is "partial 16S ribosomal RNA". It matches the Rfam family "Bacterial small subunit ribosomal RNA", at positions 29 to 525 of the family's 1533-position model. The record is from RNAcentral.